GGCUCAGAUUGAACGCUGGCGGCAGGCCUAACACAUGCAAGUCGAACGGUAACAGGAAGAAGCUUGCUUCUUUGCUGACGAGUGGCGGACGGGUGAGUAAUGUCUGGGAAACUGCCUGAUGGAGGGGGAUAACUACUGGAAACGGUAGCUAAUACCGCAUAACGUCGCAAGACCAAAGAGGGGGACCUUCGGGCCUCUUGCCAUCGGAUGUGCCCAGAUGGGAUUAGCUAGUAGGUGGGGUAACGGCUCACCUAGGCGACGAUCCCUAGCUGGUCUGAGAGGAUGACCAGCCACACUGGAACUGAGACACGGUCCAGACUCCUACGGGAGACAGCAGUGGGGAAUAUUGCACAAUGGGCGCAAGCCUGAUGCAGCCAUGCCGCGUGUAUGAAGAAGGCCUUCGGGUUGUAAAGUACUUUCAGCGGGGAGGAAGGGAGUAAAGUUAAUACCUUUGCUCAUUGACGUUACCCGCAGAAGAAGCACCGGCUAACUCCGUGCCAGCAGCCGCGGUAAUACGGAGGGUGCAAGCGUUAAUCGGAAUUACUGGGCGUAAAGCGCACGCAGGCGGUUUGUUAAGUCAGAUGUGAAAUCCCCGGGCUCAACCUGGGAACUGCAUCUGAUACUGGCAAGCUUGAGUCUCGUAGAGGGGGGUAGAAUUCCAGGUGUAGCGGUGAAAUGCGUAGAGAUCUGGAGGAAUACCGGUGGCGAAGGCGGCCCCCUGGACGAAGACUGACGCUCAGGUGCGAAAGCGUGGGGAGCAAACAGGAUUAGAUUCCCUGGUAGUCCACGCCGUAAACGAUGUCGACUUGGAGGUUGUGCCCUUGAGGCGUGGCUUCCGGAGCUAACGCGUUAAGUCGACCGCCUGGGGAGUACGGCCGCAAGGUUAAAACUCAAAUGAAUUGACGGGGGCCCGCACAAGCGGUGGAGCAUGUGGUUUAAUUCGAUGCAACGCGAAGAACCUUACCUGGUCUUGACAUCCACGGAAGUUUUCAGAGAUGAGAAUGUGCCUUCGGGAACCGUGAGACAGGUGCUGCAUGGCUGUCGUCAGCUCGUGUUGUGAAAUGUUGGGUUAAGUCCCGCAACGAGCGCAACCCUUAUCCUUUGUUGCCAGCGGUCCGGCCGGGAACUCAAAGGAGACUGUUAGUGAUAAACUGGAGGAAGGUGGGGAUGACGUCAAGUCAUCAUGGCCCUUACGACCAGGGCUACACACGUGCUACAAUGGCGCAUACAAAGAGAAGCGACCUCGCGAGAGCAAGCGGACCUCAUAAAGUGCGUCGUAGUCCGGAUUGGAGUCUGCAACUCGACUCCAUGAAGUCGGAAUCGCUAGUAAUCGUGGAUCAGAAUGCCACGGUGAAUACGUCCCCGGGCCUUGUACACACCGCCCGUCACACCAUGGGAGUGGGUUGCAAAAGAAGUAGGUAGCUUAACCUUCGGGAGGGCGCUUACCACUUUGUGAUUCAUGACUGGGGUGAAGUCGUAACAAGGUAGCCGUAG
This 1494-nucleotide ribosomal RNA is filed under the name uncultured bacterium. Its description in RNAcentral is "16S ribosomal RNA". It matches the Rfam family "Bacterial small subunit ribosomal RNA". The record is from RNAcentral.